GAUGAACGCUAGCUACAGGCUUAACACAUGCAAGUCGAGGGGCAGCAUGGUCUUAGCUUGCUAAGGCCGAUGGCGACCGGCGCACGGGUGAGUAACACGUAUCCAACCUGCCGUCUACUCUUGGACAGCCUUCUGAAAGGAAGAUUAAUACAAGAUGGCAUCAUGAGUCCGCAUGUUCACAUGAUUAAAGGUAUUCCGGUAGACGAUGGGGAUGCGUUCCAUUAGAUAGUAGGCGGGGUAACGGCCCACCUAGUCUUCGAUGGAUAGGGGUUCUGAGAGGAAGGUCCCCCACAUUGGAACUGAGACACGGUCCAAACUCCUACGGGAGGCAGCAGUGAGGAAUAUUGAUCAAUGGGCGCAGGCCUGAACCAGCCAAGUAGCGUGAAGGAUGACUGCCCUAUGGGUUGUAAACUUCUUUUAUAAAGGAAUAAAGUCGGGUAUGUAUACCCGUUUGCAUGUACUUUAUGAAUAAGGAUCGGCUAACUCCGUG
RNAcentral lists this ribosomal RNA (490 nucleotides) under uncultured bacterium. RNAcentral describes it as "partial 16S ribosomal RNA". It matches the Rfam family "Bacterial small subunit ribosomal RNA", at positions 28 to 507 of the family's 1533-position model. The record is from RNAcentral.